AGAUCAGCUCCCCAUAUAGUUGUCAUGGUGAUCUCGGUAGACCGCCACUACUGCUACUCUCGAUCUUCAAAAACCGGCAUCAACGUGUGUCUCAUUUUUUUCUUCAUGUUGUUUGCAGAGAUUAAAUAAUAAUGUUGUUUGCAGAGAUUAAAUAAGUAAAACUAUGGUGAUGGUCUUGUGGUAACUAUAUGACCAAUCUGUGUGAAGUUUCACUCCAUUUGUAUGAAAGUUCAUAUGUUUGAAUCUCUACUUGCACUUCAAUGAAGGUACGGAGCUGAAGUAGAUGUCGACGUAGAGUGAGGGCGGGACUUUUCAAAUACAAAAUUCAUGAUUCAAAUAUCAACAAUCUAACCCGGUGCAACGCACGGGCACUUUUACUAGU
RNAcentral lists this long non-coding RNA (382 nucleotides) under Hordeum vulgare. RNAcentral describes it as "long non-coding RNA (HVUL_LNC011305)". The record is from RNAcentral. Lineage: Eukaryota; Viridiplantae; Streptophyta; Magnoliopsida; Poales; Poaceae.